AAACAAUAUUUUAUAUGCUAAAGGGACAAAUAUUUUGAAAUAGAGAGUACUGAUUUUUAUAUCACAGCACACUAACUCUUUGUUCACAAAUAACAAGUUCCCAUAACAAUUCCACCCAUUUAAGUUCCAAGUGAUGAGUAAGAAGCUUAUUAUCUAUAACAACCCUGCCUUCUCUGUUUCUUUAACAGUCUCACAAAGUUUAAGUUAAUGUUAUGCUGGUGAACAUUCUGCAGAUGGGGUUCAAUUUAUCACAAUGGUAAUGUUCGUGGUAAAAACAUUAUUGCUGUUGGCUGGGAACAGUAAAUAUUUCAGCUAAGAUUGACUCUCAGGGCAAACAAAACAAAUUUAGAAAUCUAAACAGGCAAAACUUAAAUAAAUCAUGUAUUUGAACACAGUGCCUUGGUCAGCAAUUUUCUAACAUCC
RNAcentral lists this long non-coding RNA (423 nucleotides) under Trifolium pratense (red clover). RNAcentral describes it as "long non-coding RNA (TPRA_LNC006707)". The record is from RNAcentral. Lineage: Eukaryota; Viridiplantae; Streptophyta; Magnoliopsida; Fabales; Fabaceae.